Gallus gallus (chicken) is the source of this 15011-nucleotide RNA transcript. It is a transcript of the gene named MOB kinase activator 3B, with no coding region annotated. Lineage: Eukaryota; Metazoa; Chordata; Aves; Galliformes; Phasianidae. The record is from RefSeq and is a predicted model, not a curated record. The transcript is spliced from 11 exons.
GGGGCCGCGCGGCGGGAGCCGGGCCGGGCAGGGCGCGGGGUAGCGGCUCGGCGGAGCCGGCGGCCGCGGGGAGUCGCGCUGAGGCGUCGCGUCCAGCCUCCGGUUUGGAGCGCUGCGUGGGCAGGCACCUGGAGAGGCGGAGGAUAUUAUCAGCAUUUUGAUGGUACCUCUGACAGGCAUGAGCCCUGUGAGCCUGUUCUGAGUUGUGGAAGUGAAAUGAGAUGCAGACAGGAAGCUGAGGAGCUAGAGAUCUUUGGAGAAGUUAAUUUAUGAAUGAAAUUGGAGGAAGUAUUGAUUUCUUGACUGAAAUUCUGGACUGAGAAUGAAGAAGGACAUGAUUACUGUGAGAUCUCCUGAAAUUACGUCAUUGAAGACUGCAGGACACAGUGCACCCACUAGUUACUAGACAUGGUCUAAUGCAGCUCUGACUUUUUGAUGUUGACUUGAGAGUUACCAAGGCAGCAGAGGAUGUCUUUUUCAACUGGAAUGGGAAUGUCAGAAGAUUCUAGCUUUGGUUGACUCGACUUGGCAAAACAAUGGUAAGUUGCGGGCUGAAUCUGACCUCAAUGCAUUGCUGGAAGUGUGUAGGGAGAGUUCAGUUAAGUUAUAGUAAUUGUGUACUUACAAGUCAUUGUAUGAGAUUAAAGUAAUAAAUUGGAUUCAGCUGUAGCUUACAGCUAGAGUAAGUACAUUAAGAAUGUCUGUACAGUAACACAGGAGAAAUCAGUCUGAUGCAGUUUUAAUGACUGGACCUGGUUUUGAUAAUUCAGUUAAGAAUUACAUGCCAAUUCAUUUCACUGUCAAAUGGUUUCACUAUCUGCAUUUAAAAAUCUCAGGACAGAAUUUCAGUUUGUUGUGCAUAUACAUGGCUCUGUUGCACUAAAUGGAGCAACAGUGACAGGUGAGGACCUGCCAUUUCAUCUUGAAAAGCAACAAAGAAAAACAGCUUCGUGUUUCAAGGCAGAGUUGAAUCUGAUCCACUGCUGAACAUUUUUUUUGUUUUGUCUUUCUUUUUGCAUUCUGCUUACACACUGUAUGGAAUAAUCACAUCCUCAGUCAUUUGUCUGUCAUCUUCUUAUCACUGUGACUUCAUGGAUGAUCCAUGACUUCGUUGUUGUGAAAAGCACUUCAAGGGGAGAUCUCUGCAGUUGUUUCAGGGCUUCAUGUUUUCCCAAGCAUCACAUCACAUUCUUUCCCCUCAAGUGUCUUGUAGUUGUUCUCACAUUGGCUUAGUUAUCAAUGGCCAAAGAACUCUUGCACUGUGGAUCUCAUUUGUGUCACAGGAACGGAAGAUGUGAAAUGUUAGUGGCUAGAUGGGAGCUGAAGCAACAGAUUUAGGAGAAGGAAAUUGAGAGAACUGAGAUCCCAAGUCUGAAUUCAUCUAGACAAUACUUAGGUUCAAAUUGCCAUUUAGUUUUCCUAUAUACAGUUAAAACAAAAGGAUGCAGAAAGGCAGUUCCAGGGCUGUCCUGCAGUGUCCUCAGCACUUCAGACUGGGAAGGAAACCUGUCAAGAUGGAGCAUUGCUGGAGUCUGCUGGCUGGAGAUAUGGGACGUGAUGGAAUGAAGAGGAUAAGCACUUCGGGUUUGUGUGGGACUUAUUAUGGGAUGUUUAGGGGAGAAACAGGAGGUAAGGAAAGGAAUGGAUCUAAGCGUUUUGUUUGAGGAGGAACAAGUGUGUGAAAGUUGGGAGAGGAGGGGAUAAAAGGGGCUGGUUGUCCGUGUGCCAGGAACCAGUGAUAGCUGGGGGCCAGCAGUGCCUGAGCCUAGCUGCUGAGGGAAUUCCCAUUGUACAUGUGUGUAUAUCUGUGUUCUCCGCUAGCAGAUCUCUGUCCUACUAAGCUACAGAGAAGAACAGGGUGAAGUUCUUGGCAUAAUUUUUGUUUGUGCAAGUGCUCUGUGUGUCUGCUGGUGAUUGAUGUGGUCACAUAUAUGCACCAUAUGUGCUACGUGGAGUAUGUACCAUAUGUGUUUGCAUGUGUGUGCCUGCUGGGAAUGCAUGCUGCACCCAGCUGCUGGUUGAACCUGGAGGCACAGAGCUGUAGCAGCCUCACCUCUACUGGGCUUCCAGAUUCUGCCUAUCCUAACAAAUUAUGGUUGUUUUCUCUCAGCCAGGGACUAGCAGGAAAUUCACGGUCUCAUCUAAGUUCUUGUGAAGUACCCACCUCACCCUGUAUGUAAGUUAUUGAGGGCUGUAACAGCAGAGGAACACUUACAGAGAUAGAAAGAAAAGAUUGAUCUUUAGUGGCACGUCUGCCAUUGAGAAAAUAAAGAGGUCAUAACCUACCAGAAAAACAGAGGUGGAAUGCCCUAUGGAGACUGGUUUUCUGAGGGAAUUUCCAUCUGGCUGCUCUGUCAAACUGGUUGUGUUAGAUGUCUGUGACUCUGCUGUUCUCAUCUGCUUGCAAUCAGUUUUAAUAAACAGUCUAACAUGAUUGUUCAUCCAUCUUGGCAACUAGUAGAAUACCUCUCUCAAAAACAUCUCUGCAAAGAUAGUUCCUAAUGCUUUCUCACUUGCAGUACUUGGCACCAGUCUUCCUGAAUUUAUAUGUUUGUGUGGUAGAAUGUUGCUGUAGCAGAUGAUAAACCAAGGUGCCUGACAAGUCCAAGAGAUAAAACUCACCUGGUGUUCCCAUUUCUUUAUUUCUGGGAAGACUGCAAACAUCACUGUGUAUCUUGUCUGAGAUGUGAAAAAACAGGCCCUCGGGCCUGAAUCACUGAAUCCAGUAGGUGUGAUAGGAAAAGCUCUACCUAGCCAACAUGUUUACCCCAUGUGCCUGUGCGUGUGUUUUUAGAGAUCUUUGUCAGUUAAAUUGCUUUGGGAAGUAAACCUGUAACGGGUACAGAUGAUGUGGAGCUUAAGGUGAUGUUUUACCAAACACACAGCCAACCUGAUCUAAUAAUUGUCUUGUACCUAGAGGUGUAAUCCUGUCUCUCUCCUGUUUGGCCUUAGGACUUUUUUUAGCCCCAAAACUAAUCUGUCUGAGAAGCCAAACCCUUUCCCUCUCACCAUGGAGAAAAAAAAAAAUCUUGUUUUUGCCAAUUGGAGAGGGUUACUAGAAUAGAACUGGUGCAGGCACAUAGGGAGGACUAGAAAAACAUGGCCAUUAGCAGCGGAACAUGACCUGAUUUCAUCAGCUGGCACCCUUCAGGAUAUCAGAGAUGGUAUGUUUGGGUUGGAAGAUCUGAUCCUGCUAAUUUUCCAUGGUAGCACCUCCAAGGGAAAUGCUGUCUUUUCUCAUAUUUUGGUGUGAUGUGUGCAAUUUCAACCAGAUUUCUUUGCCUUCAGACCUUUUUAAAAGGAGAUGUGACACUAAGAGGAUGGUAUCUUAAGCUGAGGAGCCUGUGCUGCAUAUAAGGCAACCUGGAGUUGUCUGAUCUUGUGUCAUUGUGACAUCCAAAAGUCCCAGUUUCCUGGGAGAUGGAAGCUUUAGCUAUAUUGUGAAAUGUCUCAGUACUGCAUUUCAAGUACUUGGGCCUGAAACUGGCUGCAGAAUAUAGGACAUUUCAAAACUGUUUCAAAUCAAACCCAUUAAAGAAUGAGAACCUUACUAAGUGUAAUCUGAGAUUCCUAACUGUGAUGUGUGCUACUGUCAUUUUUCCUAUAGGGUUGAUACCAGAUAACACAUCAUUGUUGCAUGUUAAUUAGGCUGAGAAUUGGAGGCUGCGAAGGCUACAAAGAGACACUGAUGUUAUUCCAAUGUACAGUAUACAUGUGCAAUGAUUAUUUGGGUUGUCCUAUAUCAUUCUCGUAAUAAAUGAUAGAAGUAGACUAUUUCUUGUCAUUUAUCUUGAGUGAAGGGUGACUGCUGUUCUGAUGUAAUAAUUUCUUUGUACUGUUAAUAAAUUAUUUAUUUCAGCAUGGCACUUGGCUGGUGAGAAAAGUCUUGAACAACGUGGCAUGAUUGUUGGAUGCAGAAUUGCUCAGGCAUGGUGAGGUGAAGACAUAGCUAUAUGUUCCAGGUGUAUUUACAAUUUCUAAAAAUUUACUUUAGAUACUGAGGCAGUUCGUGAACUUCAUUCACUAGUUUCUCAAAUCUUUCUAGUGUUCUGUGAAAGCACUCAGAAGGUAGGACAGAAGACAUACUUGAAACUAAUUUUCAACUCUGUAUGUGCUGAGUGAUUGAUGAGGCUUUUCCUUAGUGAGUUCAGUGAGCUGUGUCUCUUCUCUGUCCAGUUGCUAAUUUGGGUGAACUCUGGAGGACUGUAAUCAUGUUGAGGUUUGAAGUGCUCUUUCAAAUCUCGUUGAAAUUGGAUGGUGAUUGGGAAAGUUAUUGAAGAGAGAGCAUGACAGGUAAUUGGAUUUUAGAGGCUCUUUUUCUAGGAGGCCAGGAAGUGUAACUGAGAUAUAAUUCCACAUUACACCUUAAAAGUUAAUAACACACAUACAUAGUAAGCCUACAGAAUUAAGCAUUGUUGUAAAGUGUAGUAGCAGUGGAAUUUUCAUGGACACAUGUCAAGUAAGGUUAGUACAGAAAGCAUAGAUGUUGACUUGAUCAACAGGAGUAAUAACCAGCCUUGCUCCUACUUUGUUUUUCUUCUAACCAGGAAAGCAAGGUAAAUCUUUACCUUUCAGAUGUGCUCUGUUUUCCCUGUGAAGGUGGUUGUACUAUUAAAAUAAUCAUUACCAGCAGCUCUAAUAGCCUGCCUGGAUAGUGAUCUGGGCUGAAAGACUGAAUUUGAAAUGGUCGUCAAGACUCUGUUCUCUCCGUGUCUGAUAAGUUGUCAAGUGACAGCUGCUGUGGGCUCUCAAAGCCCAGCAGGAUUCUCUGUUGCUGGGGUUUCUACAGCAGGGCUGGUCCAAGCUGGGUACAGUUCAUAUUGCUGCAUAUAAAUAUGUCUGCCUCUCUCACAUCUGCCUUGUAUGUUUGGAGUCCAUCCAUUCUCAUACCUCAUGCUGUGUAAGAAAUAGUUCAGAGCUUCUAGAACUAUUAGUAUUCCUCAGUAAAUCCAACGACUUUCAUUCAAUCUGCUGAAGUUUUCUUCACUUCAGAGGGAAGAACUAUUGGUACCUUGUGUUUUGCUACUUGGCAAUUUGUUCAAGAUUUAGCUGUAACAGAGCUAGGUGGAUUUUCUAAGCCUUUUUCAGAUUUGCUUAUUAGGACAUUGUUUGGUCUAUACAAGAGGAAAACGCUACUGGAAUUAGUGACUGGGGCAUAUGCAUUUAACACAGUGCAGUUAGUAAGCAGUCUAGGCUUUUGGCAACAGUGCAUGUUCUGAAAUGGCUCAGCACACAACAGCAAGUGAGCAGGUUAGCACAUGAUAGGUCAGCCUUUUGGAUGGCAUCUAGGCACAGGAUUUUUUAUGUGCCAGAAGUGUAUGCCAGUUCACUGUAGAUCUUAUUUCAGAGGAUAGAGGAAAGACAGCUCUGAAGUCCUUGGCAGAGUAAAGAGCAGUAGAUGACUGGGUUUCCAUCUGGUUACUUGCAUGUUAGGCAAGGAGAGAUACUAUGGCAAACUGCCCCAACAGGCUGUGGUGCUAUCAACUAGUCCCAUUUGUGUAGUGAUUGGCACUGACCGUACAUGGAGUGCUACCCUGGCACUCCAGAGGCCUUCGUUUUGUAGCCUUUUGGCUGUGUUAAGAAAUGAUUGAGUCCAGAAAAUGUAGUACUCUGGAAUAUAGUACCUGUCUGCAUAGAACCUGUUGGAAAAAAAAAAAAGUGAAAUCCUUUUGCAGCAAUUUGUUAGCUUUUGCAGCCAUUCAUGAACCAUCUGAACAACUUCUUGAAAUACUGAUACUCACUGAAGAUCAUCAUGAAGAAGAAAUAAGACAUUACCUUUCAUAGCAGGCCUGGAAAUAUGCACCUAUGAUGCGUGUAACAGUAUGAUUAUAGAAGAGAAAUUUUUUUAAGGCAAUGACAGUGGUCACCCCUUGUGAACCAUGAUUCAGAUAUGGAUUAUCUGUGCAAAUACUGUCAGCACUGGAAUAGAUAUUGAAUGGUGUAAGCAGAAGGCUGCUGAAAACCUGCAGCUGUUUCUAAUGGUGAGGUCAGCCAGUCUGUAGAGAGGUUGAUAAUUUCUUGGAGGUACUAAAACUGGGUUCAGUGAAUGAGAUUCCUGUUAGCCCCAUAGUCCUUUUGGCUAAAAUGAACCUGACCUGGAGACCCAGCGAGUUGCAUUCCUUCCUAAAGCUUCUUUUCUAACAGACUUUAAAUUCCACUGAUGCUUUUGUAGAGAUUUAUAAUAGAAAUUUAGCACUAGUAAUGAGAGGAGUAUUUAAACUGAUAGGUAAUGGCAUUUUACUGUGGAAUUAAAAAUGCACACCAUAUUUAGAGGACUAGAAGUUUUUAGUUAUGAGAGUUGCUCUGUUCUGAUUUUUAUGCAGCAGGAUUCAUCUCCCUUGCAGCAUUCCUGUAUCAAAUGGGUGAAGCAACUGAAGUUCCUCCUUCAGGUCCCAAACCACAAAGUGGUACAAGGAGAGUCCUUGUAAUUCACCACUGCAUUGGCAGUUCUGAUUACCUCUGAUGAUACGUCAUGUUAAUACAAUAAACUAGAAGUGUUCUGUAAGCACUUACACAACAGUAGUAUCUUUCCUUACACCGUAGUAGUUUAAAGAUAAGGGAGGAAAAUUACUUUCGUCUAGCAGAUAGAGUUGAGAAAGUAGGAGACUCUUUGGUACAGAAAAGCAGGAGGAGUCCACAAUACACUCCUCUGUGGUGCUGCCAUUGAUUAAGGUGUGAAAACAGUUCUGAUUGUCCUGCAUUUUUGAACUCUGACAUGCACUUCUGUGGUGCCCAUCUUUCUGUUCAUAGCUCAGACAGUAGACGAAGAGGUGAAAUGGAAUGUAACUCAUUUUGUGAAGUAGACAUUUUGGCCUUUUUAACAUCUCUGUGAGCUCAGGGCAGUCUUUAGCUUCUACUGUUUGCAGUAUUCCUCAAGACAGCUGAAGUGUUUUCCUAACAAGAGCAUGGUAGGUGCUAAUUUCAGGUUGGACUGACCCUGGAGUAAACACAGUAGAGUUACACUUUGCACUGCAGAUAGGUCAUUUGCUUGUGUAGUAUCUGUGUGGAUCUGUGUUUCCCUCCCAGGUCACUCUUCAGAGUGAAGCUGAAUUUGGAGGACCAAUUUUGCAAGAGGACAGCUCAACCAGUUUGUGGGGAGAGAGCAGAGCCUGUUUUUGCCUCUUCUCUCCUUCACUCACUUCUUACUCCACUGAGUCUACCAGAAGGUUGCCCUUCUUUUUGACCAGCAUUUUGGUUACAGGCAACCAGGACAGCUGUGGGCUGGACUGACCAGUCUGACCAUUGCAGCUGGUUCCAAGUCCUUCACUUGUAAGCAAAGCUGAGCCCUCCUCUCUCUGUGUCAGAGGACAGCAAACACUUCAGGACUGGGGUUACAUUUUCUGUCUUGUUGAGGUCACAAAGAAAAGUAAUUUUUGGGGAAACCUAUAUCAAAUUUCUGUGGUACUAAAAGAGGUAAAGUUUUCCUCCCAUUCUUUCCUAUUUGAAGUUAAAGAAUAUUUUGCUAAGCAGAGAAGUAGUGCUAUUGUACUCUUACUUUUUUUUUUUUUUUCUUCUACACAUCUCAUCUUCUUGUUUUGGGCUUCCUGUACUUUAUAGAGAUGUUAUUUCUGUCCAUUCAUUAACUUGGUGAGGGCUCUUUUUGAAGUUCAUUUGAAGUGCUCCACAGGAAGGGUGUUGACAACUGUGGUUACCUGCCAAGCAAAAUAAUAAUUACAUGAUGCACCUGUCCUCUCCCUGCAUUGGGUAAGAAGGGAGAGGAACUCCCAUCACUGUGUGCUCAGCACUGCGCUUCUUUAUUCUGGAUAGAAUUUGGGUGGAAGAAGUAAUUUUGCAUCCCUGUAAAGAGAGUUGGGAUGGGAUAUGUGCAUAGGCCUUUGGGUUUUGAACAGGGAGUAUCAAAGAGAACCACUGCACAAGAAAACCAUUCACUGUGAUAGAAUACAAACCUAACAUCAAUUGAAGAACCACUUAGGAUUGCCCACUGUGCUUUCAUGAGUAUUCAAAUGCAGAUUGUUGCAGUUACUACAGGUGUACUGUUGGAGGCCAUCUGAAAACCAGAAUUGUCAUCUUAGUGUUCCUCUGGAAUAGUGUAUUGCACCGCUGGCAGGAAUUCAUGUCUGUAAACAUCAGUGAAUACGAACAUGAAGCCUUUUGGGAAGGCUUUCAAGUGGAAGAGCUAGUAGACUGCUUUGAAGUCAACACGAACUUCUGGGACAAAAAGAACCUGGAGGACCUGUGAUAGGGAGCAAGUGUUUUCAGAUACCUGAAUUAAAUCUCAGCAGUGCUUUUCUGCCACCUGCUGCAGAGCAGAAGAUUAUCAGACAUGUCAAUAGCACUGAAGCAAGUCUUUAAUAAGGAUAAGACUUUUCGUCCAAAACGCAAGUUUGAACCUGGAACCCAGAGGUUUGAGCUGCAUAAAAGAGCGCAGGCCACUCUGCACUCAGGUGUGGACUUGAAAGCAGCUGUACAGCUGCCCAGGGGAGAAGACCAAAAUGACUGGGUGGCUGUCCAUGUUGUUGACUUCUUCAACAGGAUCAACCUCAUUUAUGGAACUAUCUGUGAGUUCUGCACGGAGAGGACCUGCCCAGUGAUGUCUGGAGGCCCUAAGUAUGAGUACCGGUGGCAGGAUGACAUGAAAUACAAGAAGCCUACAGCGCUGCCAGCACCACAGUACAUGAAUCUCCUCAUGGACUGGAUUGAGAUGCAAAUCAACAACGAGGAUAUAUUUCCUACAAGUGUAGGUGUUCCCUUUCCAAAGAACUUCCUUCAGAUCUGCAAGAAGAUACUUUGCCGGCUUUUUCGGGUAUUUGUUCACGUCUACAUUCAUCAUUUUGACCGUAUCAUCCUCAUUGGGGCCGAGGCCCACGUCAAUACCUGCUACAAGCAUUUUUAUUACUUUGUGACAGAGCUCAACCUGAUAGACCGCAAAGAACUAGAGCCUUUGAUGGAGAACUUAAUACACCAUCUAAAUGUCUGGUAAGGAUGAGUAGGUGCCCUGUAAAAGAGAACUUCUUUGGCAGACCAGGGAUUCUGGAUUUGUUGUAGCUGUUGAUCUCUGAAGCUGUGUCACAAACAAGAUGAGAAGGAGAUGACAACCAGGUUGUGCCACUGAAGAGCCACUCACUGAAGAAAAUGUGUCCAGUUUCAUCCUUGCUGCAGAGUUCCAGAACAUGGCAGCCCUUGCAGAAUGAGUCUGCUUUCAACCCAAGAAAGCAGAAAAGAUGGGAACUGCAGUUACUUUCACAAAAGUUUUCCACUCCUGUCAGUGUUCCUAACCCAGAGUGUGCUGCUAGGAGCCUCAUCCGAGCAACGUGGAUUACUGAGGGAAAGAAGAAUCAGCUUCAUAUUAAUCCUAGCUCCUUCAUUAGGGAUAAGAACCUCUUCAGCCGCAAGUAAUGACUGACCAUGUUCCUGCUGCUAAAGCUCGCUGAAAUUCAGGUCCAUGGGCUGACCUCCAGAUCCACUGUAUUCAAAUGAAACUAUUACUAGCUGCAGUGUUGUUUUCUUUUUAUUUUGUUCCUGGGUUCAUGCUUUGUUUCCUAAAUGAAGUGGAAUAUCAAGUCAGUCUGGAGUUACAGAAGACUUGCAGCCCUGAACAUCUCCCAUCCAUCACCAGGCCGCUCAAGGCUUGGCCACUGUUCCCAAAUGCCAGAGAGCCUUGUGAUUCCAGGAACACAGCCCCGUCCUUUUGCUGAUUAUAGAAUCGUAGAAUUGGUUGUGUUGGAAGGAACCUUGAGAGGUCGUGUAGUCCUGUUCUCCUGCAGUGUACAGAAACAUCUGCAAGGACAUCAGGUUGCUUCGAGCCCAAUCUAGCCUGACCUUGCUGACGUGAUCAACAGCUUGUGCUUCACUGCAAUUCCUCAUGGGGUGACAGGGUCAGCCUCUGAUCUCAGCUACAUGGGCGGAAUCCAGACACAGCUCUUCAAUGUUGAUGUCCUGUCUUCAAAUUCUUACUUUGACUGACAGCAAAUCUGCUCAGUGUUUCUGUAUUACAUAAGAAAGCAACUAUAUUGUCAGCAGUUUCCUGAAAUACCCUACAAAGUGCACCAAUGCAUCAUGUAUCUUGAUGUCCUAUGAUCCCCUUAGAGGAAGGACAGCUUUCAUUCACCCAAAUGUUUAAUCUUUUCAGGGGAAAAGAAAUUUUUGGUAAUUGGGAGAAAGAUGUAGUAAAGAUGAAUAGUGUAACAAUCAGGCCAGGAGAGACUGAGCAGAGGACUCUUUUGCAUCUGAACUGUGUUCAGCAGUGUGGCCUUAUUUCUGCACUGGAGAAUAUUUCUCCCCAGUUCUCAGUCCAACUUAACUAACACAUUGGUGAACAGCCUGGAGGGAUGUAAGCACAGUAAAUCCAGUCUUCUGUGUCAGAUGUACCCCGAUGAAAGGCUUUCUUUAAAAAAAAAUGAAGCGAAAAGCAAUACUUACCAGUUCACAGGAGAGAUUUAGCUGAAUAAAUGGGGAUCAAGUGGAACACACCUAUGUAUUCUGUGCCUUCUGAUGAAUUUUGCACAUUUUUGUUAUUGUGAAAGAUUACUCUUUCCUUUUUAAGUGCUGAACCCUAUUGCUGCCUUCCCUGAAGUGAGUUAGGUAUGUUUACUUCUUCUGAAACAUUAUCAGAAGGAAAUCUCAUGGAGUAUGCAGUGAUUGGAACGUUAGAAAUAGAGGUCUAGCAGCAAUUAAGAAUGACCACAAUCCUUUUGUAGUUCGUGUUGUGGUAUAUUCUGAGCAGGUUUGCUCACUUGCUUGCUUGCUUAAAAUAGUGCUUAUAAAUGUUAGUGAUCCUGUUCUUGCUAGGCGAAAUGGCUUUUGUCUGUGAACAUUCAGCUUAGCUAAGUGGAGACUUUUUUGCGUCUUUAGAAUGACACAAGGAAUGUUAUCCUUUGCUUACAGGGAAGCAGGCUGAAGUGUCCUUCCUCUUUCAGUGGUCUUUUCAGUUAGGUUAAUUCUUCGUGGGCUGCACAACAUAACACUUUUGGGGUGCUGGCACUUGCGCAGGAUAUAAGCAUCUUGUGGAAUUCAUUGCUAUAGCUACUGCUGAGCUUAGCUGCUUCAUUUCAGAUGUGAUGAUAAAUGUUGUGUCCUUGGAAGAAGGCUGCAUGGGUAUGUGUGGAAUUACAGCCUUGAUUACAUCUGAAAGGGUUUCUUACACCUUUCUCCAUAGCCUGUAGGUCAUUGCCCUGUUGGAGCUGGAGCUGUCCUUGAUACAGUGUACUUGAACUUCACUGUUGCCAGUUCCCAUCUUCUGUCCCUAUGGCUGGGCAGUGCUGCAGUGCUAUGCAUUAAAGAUUAACAUAAAGGUCAAAGUGCCAUUGCAGAAAUUGAAGAACAGCAUUUUAUGCAUAAAAUAAUCUGUCCUUCAGUUUGUUAUGGUACUUACCAUAUGCUGUUUUGAGUCUAAUUACUGUAGCGAUGCCUGGAAAUGCAGCAGAAUGUGUUCCCAUUUACUUUGAAUCCUCUUGAAUAACCUUAUAAAUGCAUUAAUCUCAGCGUCUUUGCAGAAGUUCUUUGUUGGAGUGUGUUUAUUUUUCUAAAACCAUCUUUCACUUUCCUAAACUCUUGUGUUGGCCAUGGCCAAAAUCCUGAGGAGUCUAAUUCGAAAAGGCAUUCCAACCCAGGAGCUGAACCACCACACAAUGCACUUGGUUUGGUGGUUUGCUCUCAUGGGAAUAAGGUGGAGUUUUGCUCCAGCUUGUGUUUUCUCUGUGAGCACUGAGCUCUUUCUGUUGGCCCUACUGGUGUUGUGACAGGCACUGGCCCAAGUCCUGUACGUAGGUAGUAGGGCAAAGGCCUUCUGGCACCCUCUUUACUUUAUAUCUGUACCAGGCUGUGUGCGGUGUGAUGCCUGGGCAUCACAAAUCUCUUGAGCUGUGUUUGCAGUGGAGAACACCAGAAGUCAUAUUGAAACUUGCUAGAUGAUGAAAUAAACUUCCUCCAGAUGGCAGGGUUGGGCCCUUGGCCAAGUGUUCCCCAACAAGUACUGCUUUCACUGCAAAGGUAUUCUUCCCUGGCCUUGCCAUCCUGUGCCAUGGGCCAUUUCUCCAUUUCCCGUGCUUGGUAUUUGAUAUCUUGUUAUGAAUAAUGUCUGGAACAUGGCAUUAGUACAUAAAUGUGUCAGCUUACUCUUCCCCUGGAGGACAGAGGGGCAGCAGCCUGUUGGAUCCAGAUCUGAGGGAUUCCAGGUUUAUCAGCAAUCUGCUUGGGCCACAUCCAGAUGACUCUUGUUUUGGGUGUUGAUCACAGGUCCUGAUUUAUGUGAUUCCUCAGGAUAUGUCAAGAGAAAUGUGUUUUAAAUGUGAUGGUAUGCAAAGGCAUGCAUUUCACCUACUGAGAAAGUCUUUCUACUUGGCCUUACCAUUCUCCAGUGUGUGUCCUAGUAGCAUUUCAUGUGGUUCUGGAACUAUGUUUUGUUUUGCUUUAUUUCUUUUACUUGCUUUUCAAUGAGAUCUUUUUUUUUUUUUUUUUUUUUUCAUACCUAGGAAAAGUCCUGUGAGGCUGGCAGGUGUCUUAAGAGGUGUUGUUAGUGCUGAGCUUCAAGGCAAUCUAAGUGGGAUCACUUCAGUUGAUAGAGGCCCCAGCCAGCUUUACUUCAGGACUCCUGUGAUCCCAAAAUUGCCUUCAGUGAUUGAAGACUUAAUAGCUUUCAUUGAUUUGUCUCUGUCAUAAGGGAUUUUGUAAUGAACUUCUGCUUUGUGUGAACAUAGGUUAGUGCCGGACUGUAAUGACAAAUGUAAUAUGGAAAAGAUCUUAACCUCUCUUAGGUUUAGGUUUUUUCUAGGGACUAGAAAAGGAGGCUUUUUAGCAGCAGUGAAAUUGAUUAUUUCCUUUUGGAUUUGGAAGGUGAAAACUCGAGUUUUUCUGAGAACUCAAGCUCUAAGCAGCAAAACUCAUUAGCACACAAGGUGGUUAAUUCUGCUGACCAGUGCAUGUUAAGAACAGGGCAGGAGGACAGGUGAAAAAGAAUGUAAUUCAGACCUAUUUACACUUACUGAAGACCUGGAGAAGCCUAAGUGCUAAACACCAUCACAGCAAUCAUGCAUUUUCCGAGGGCUGUGUGGAGAGGACAUGGAGAGAAUGGUGCCCUUGAUGGCUGGUGAACAAGUAUCCAGACCACUAUUAGUGAUAGCCUCUCAGGUCUUCAUCGUUCCUAUGAAUUAGGAUUCCAGGUUGUUUCCAGCCAAAGGCAGCUGCCUCGCCACCAGAGAAAUAUAGAUCAUAGAAUGGCUUGGGUUGGAAGGGACCUCAAGGAUCAUCAAGCUCCAACCACCUUGCCUCAGGCAGAGCCACCAAACUCCACAUUUAAUACUAGACCAGGCUGCCCAGGGCCCCAUCCAGCCUGGCCUUAAACACCUCCAGGGACGGGGCAUCCACAACCUCUCUGGGCAGCCUGUUCCAGCACCUCACCACUUUCACAGUAAAGAACUUCCCUCUGACAUGCAACCUUAAUCUUCCCUCCCUCAGCUUAAAACCAUUUCCCUUUGUCCUGCCAUUAUCUACCCUUGUAAAGAGCUGACUCCCCUCCUGUUCAUAGGCUCCGUUUAGGUACUGAAAGGCUGCAAUGAGGUCACCCUUCAGCCUUCUUUUCUCCAGGCUGAGUAAGCCCAGCUCCCUCAGCCUGUCUUUGCAGGGGAGAUGUACGAGCCCUCUGAUCAUCUCUGUGGCCCUCCUCUGGACCCUCUCCAACAGAUCCCUUUCUUACAUUGGGGUCCCAGACCUGGACGCAGUACUCCAGAUGGGGCCUCACAAGGGCAGAGUAGAGAGGGACAAUCACCUCCCUGUCCCUGCUGGCCACCCCUAUGCUGAUGGAGCCCAGGAUGCCAUUUGCUUUCCGAGCUGCAAGAGCACACUGCUGGCUCAUGUAAAGUUUGUCAUUCACGAGGACCCCCAUGUUCUCCUCUACGGGGCUGCUCUCAAGGACUGCUCCUUCCAGUCUGUAUAAAUGCCUGGGAUUCCUCCAGUCCAAGUGCAAAACCUUGCACUUUGCUGUGUUGAACCUCAUUAGAUUCACCUGCGCCCAGCUUUUGAGUCUGGAGAUCGAGCUCCAAAAUACAGAACAAGGUCUUUAGCACCUUUAGACUUAGUUUGAACAAGUUAUAUGUCCUGGAGCCAUCCUGCAAGAGACUGUGCCUUUCUUUUGCUUUUUGUCUUUCCUACUUUUUUUUUUGUUUCCCUUCCAGGUACCUGCUGGCACUUCAAAGCAGGAUGCACUAUAUAUAAAAUAAGAAUAUACUUGCUAUUGUAUAACAUGUUUAAAUUGUUUGAGGAAGGGGAUAACACUAUGGGAUCGAAUAUAGACAAGUGGUCAGUGAUCAGACUUCACAUAUAUUGAAAGAUUUUAAAGGCAUUUUAAUAAUUAUACAGAGUUCUAAGGGCAAAGCCAGCCAAAUCAGUCAUAAAAACCUAGUAGUAAAACACAUUUAGAUCCAAAAUGAUCAGAAACGCUUUUUGAUGUAUUGUAUACUAAUGAGAGAAGCAGUGGUUUUCAGGAUUUAAUCAAGUAAGUUGGAGCUCUUAAAGGUGGUUGUUUCUUUUCUGUUUUAAUAAGUUUUCCUUCCUGUUGUAAAGAUAGAUAUAAUAUAGCAAAGAGAUACUACAGUAUACUUCCAGGAGAGAAAAACAAAAAAACCAACAAAAAAAUGAAUUGCUUUCUUUGAAUUUGUUGUGUGUUUGUGUGAAUGCUCACAUGUAUGUUUCGGUGGGUGUGCAGAUGUGCAUUCCCAGCGUGUAAAUAAGUACAGAUACACAUCCUGAGCUUUCCCAUUGAGUGUGUAUUUUCCUUUUGCUAUUUUAAGGGGAUAUUUCUAACAAACAAGUGCUUGAUUCCUUUUCCUCCUACCUGAAUCAGUGUUGUUUGGUUUCUUUUUUGAUGAUGUCAGAUGUGUCUUAGACUCUUUUUGUUCUGUUUGUUAUUAAAUGAGGUGCAACUGUAUGGGAAGAGAGACCAACACUAACUGUUGUAGUCAUUAAAAGACCACCACCAGAGAUUAUUUUUCACAGCGGUCCUAAGCAGAUGAAGCUGUAAAAUCUAAAUAUCAUGAAUAAAUGAAAUGUAGUCUUGA